CCUACGGGUGGCUGCAGUGGGGAAUAUUGCACAAUGGGGGAAACCCUGAUGCAGCGACGCCGCGUGAGUGAAGAAGUAUUUCGGUAUGUAAAGCUCUGUCAGCAGGGAAGAAAAUGACGGUACCUGACCAAGAAGCCCCGGCUAACUACGUGCCAGCAGCCGCGGUAAUACGUAGGGGGCAAGCGUUAUCCGGAUUUACUGGGUGUAAAGGGAGCGUAGACGGCAGGGCAAGUCUGGAGUGAAAGGCGGGGGCUCAACCCCCGGACUGCUCUGGAAACUGCCAGGCUGGAGUGCAGGAGAGGUAAGUGGAAUUCCUAGUGUAGCGGUGAAAUGCGUAGAAAUAAGGAAGAACACCAGUGGCGAAGGCGGAUGACUGGACGGCAACUGACGGUGAGGCGCGAAGGCGUGGGGAGCAAACAGGAUUAGAUACCCUAGUAGUC
This 440-nucleotide ribosomal RNA is filed under the name uncultured bacterium. Its description in RNAcentral is "partial 16S ribosomal RNA". It matches the Rfam family "Bacterial small subunit ribosomal RNA", at positions 338 to 795 of the family's 1533-position model. The record is from RNAcentral.